AUUUUAUCAAUUUUCAAUAUCCAUUGCCUACAUUGUUAUUGUUCAUGUGUUUUGUUCCGUAUAUUUUAUAUUCCAUUGCUCAUGUUUUGUUUCCGUAUAUAUUUUAUGUUCCAUUGCUCAAGUGUUGUUUCCGUAUAUUUUAGCCGCUCGUCUUAAGCCUACCAAAUGAACACACCAUAAAGUAAUAAAAUUAUACUUUAAUUGUCAUUCAUAACUCUUAACAGACCAAUUAACAGACCGGGUUUUAUUACAUCCGACCCCAUUAACAGACCAGGUUUUAAAUAAAGAUUGAUUUAUGUCACCAAAAUACAGAUUUUCGUGUAGAUUUUUCACAAAAUGAUAUCAAUUUGGUUAACACUCAUAAUGCCUGUCUUUUUUCGAUGUUCAAAAUAUUGCAUGCAAGUAAAUUCAACCCAAGUGUCAUUUUGUGUACAUUUUGUGUGUGUAAAAUGUGUAUAAAUUUACUGAUGAGUAAUUUGCCUUUUCAUUUUAUAGAUCGUACAUAGAAGCUAGAAAAAUAAUAAUUACACCACUGGAUUCAGUACAUUGAAUAGUUUUGUCAGACAUAAAUAUUUUUUAUGAUAAACAUAUAUUCAAAAGGUUAUACAAUGAAACAUUCUGAGUUUUAAUGAUUUUUCUCGAUAACACCUGAUUAAUAGACUUUAGCCAACCCGAUUAAAGACCCACUGCCGAUAUAGCCGCAUACUCAAUAUAGAUUAACCGACCAAUCUCUCGGUUAGCCGAGUGUCGGCCGUGAAUAUGAACGAUGAUUAAAUCAUGUAUGACCAUGUGUGAACGAAACUUUAAAAACUAUUGAGACAAAAUUCAAUUUCGGAUAAACAUAUUGUUCCUUUUAUACUUAAGCUGGGGUCACACAUUCACGAUUUUUACUGCCGUCCUUGACAGGACCAUUCCCGAUUAAAAUUUGUCAAAAGUCUGAUCAAGAUCCUGUGAAUCGUGGAUGGAAAUUCGAUUUGUAUAUUUCGCCAGGUAAAAUUCGACCGAGUCUGUCACGACUGCGUCCCGAUUCUACCGAAUGUAAUCCGACAGAGAUCAGAUAGUGACAAGACAGUGAACCGACGCUGACGGAAGUUAUCCGUUCGAAAACUGUCGGCAUAAUCGGGAUGAUCAGGUACUGUCGGAACGUAAUCCUAUCACGGUCCGCUCUAUCGUAUUGCAAACGGCUUUGUCUGGUCUCAGUCGUAUUGUAUUCUGUUAUUGUCGGGACUUCUCCAGAUCAUUCCCGUUCCACAGGACACCGUGCUGAAUACACAGAACAUUGUUAGGAAUUCGAUCCGAUACAGCAGAAUCUGUCACGACAUAGGCACGAUUGUAAUCCGACUAGACAAAAAUCGGCUGAGUUUCCCGAAUGUUACGGGACGCACCUAACUGUCGGGGUGCUUUGCCGAACUAUUCGGACCCUUCCCGACCAGUAGGAAUCUGUUACGAACUAAAACGACUGCGUUCAGACAAUGAUAGGACAUUCCAGAUAAUUGAGGAUACUAAUCCGACUUUUUCACUUUUCGUGUCGUAUCGCUGUCUGAUCUCAAACGGGAUCAAUAAUCGGCAAUGUGUGAACCCCGCAUUAGGAAAUACAAUUUUGAAACUUACUAUUUGUGUAAUUCAUUGCUAUACACAAAACUAGAACACGCCCGCAGAACUGUCGACUGACAAGUAACUUUGCCUUCAAUAAUAAUUAUAACGGUCAUUAUCCUUAUUACACACAUCUUCAAAUAGACUGUUCUUAUGCAAAUUAAAACUUAAGUGAAAUAAAUCAAGUACAAUAAAUGUUAUCUGGUCUUUGAAAAAAACGUCAAAUUGCAUAGUUAAAACAUUGUUGAAUAAUCGACCGAUCCUUGUAUUCAAAAACUAAUAAGAUGUGAAA
RNAcentral lists this long non-coding RNA (1885 nucleotides) under Mytilus galloprovincialis (Mediterranean mussel). Lineage: Eukaryota; Metazoa; Mollusca; Bivalvia; Mytilida; Mytilidae. The record is from RNAcentral.